UGAGUGAAAAAUAAAUGAUGUUUGUAAAUUUUUAUUUUACAAAUAGUACAUGUCUCAUACUUAAAAAUGCUGUUGUCUAUAGGAAAUAUUGCUCAUAAUUUAUUUAGAACGUUAACAUUUAAUUGACUAAGGAGAAUCGUCCUUAAUAUGUUUUAACACUCAACACAUUGCGCUUUCUUUCAAAGUAGAAUGAUUUCUACAUGCUUGUACCUGUAUAAUCAUACCAACAUCACUUACCCCAAUGUCCAUCCAUGAAAAUGAUUUAAUUAAUUAGCACGAAACUUUGGACAUUUUUUUAUUAUACUUUCAUUAAACUCAACGAAGAUUUUAUUUAUUGCAAACAAUUUUGCAAAAGAUGCCUCCAAUUUUAUGGUAGACAUAACAACUCCCAGACAUAUCAUUUUUUAAUUACAAAAAAUGGGUUGGCUUAUUUUUGCUCGAGAUUAAUCGUAAACAGUUUUAUCAAAAUCAGUGAACCAACGAUUGCGACCACUCCUUGUAAAUAACUGUUCCACAAUCCGACGAACAUUUAUGUCAUGCUGCUUAUCCCAAAUAAACAAAGUUUUGCUGUAAAACAUGCAGUUACAGUACAAUUACGAGCAUAAAGAAUUAAUUAUUACGUACCCAGGAAGUGGUCCUCCAUUGUCCAGAUCGAACACUUGAUAUGGAUUUAGAAGUUUACGAAAACUGGAGAUCAACUGGAGUCCCUGGCAACCGCCAGAUUUUACAUUCACGAAGACUAGCAAUGGUUGCACCCCUGACGGGACCAUAGUUGGCUCAAUACUCGGUAGCGGCAUUACUAUAACCAUCAGAAUCAUCGAAUACUGUAUUAAUCACAUUUUUAUGAAAAUGAAGAACGUGAAUACAGUAGAAUUCCAUUUAUCCGACAUGCUUGGGGGACACAACUGGAUAUCUGACUGAUUUAUCUAUUCAUAUAAUUGGACUUAAGUUUCAUAUAACUGGAAUUUGCUACAUAUUGCUUUGAACACAAGAGAAAGCAUUAAUUUUACCAUCAUUUAACAUAGCGUCAAAUAAUUUCUUUGUCAUCGAUGCAAAGCAACACUCUUUAUCACAGAUAUAAUCGCACAGUUAUGAAUAACUGAAUUAAAUCGUUACUUAUCUCACAUCGCUACGCAAGAACACUAGGCUAAAAUUUCACACCGAACCAAAACGAGUAAGUCGUAUAAUAUAAAAAAAAUUAAAAUAAUAUAAUAUAAUAAAUUAAAUAUGAUCUGUUUCACUGGUUAUACAGGGUGAGUUAUUUAACUCAUUCUCCUUAACUUUUCUGGUGAACUACAUGUUGUAUAAAACAAUAUUUCAAACAAAAAUUACUUGGUAUAAAGUGCAGCGUAGACGGUAAUAAUUAAUUUUUUGCCAUUUUCCUUCUUCGUCAAAAUAUGAAGGUCAUUUGACAAAAUAUGAAACACUAACCACAUGUACGUGCUGAUGUAUUAAUUGUAAUGGACAAUAUUUUGAACAUUUCUUGCAUUAAAAAUCAACUAAAAAAUAUCGCGACAAACACUAAUUUACGAACCCUUGCACCUUUAUAAUUUUUAUUCUGUAUUUAAUGUACUUUCAAAUCCACGAUUAAGUGUUAUAGUUAAAAAAAAAACUCAGAAUGACCUUAUAUCUUGAUAGGAAAGGAAAAUAUAAAAAAAUUAAUUGUUGUCAUGUGCACCCCUCUUUGUACCAAGCAACUUCAUUCAAACAUUUUGCUAUACAAUACGUAGUUUACAAGAUGGAAGAGUUGAAUGACUCACCGUGUAUACGGACAGCAGAAUUUUACUCUUAUCUUAAAAAGUUAAUUUUUGUAAAUUAUUUGCAUAAAUCGAAUUUUAUUAUUAUUUGUAGGAUCUAAAAGAUUUACAAGAUACUAUUUCUGCUAAUUACCGUGAUAUUAUUUGUAUACUGCGGAUUUUAUGCAGAAUUAUUAACUGAAUUGUUUUAAUUUUAUACGAUUUUUUAAGGUGGUGGUUUGGUAUUCAAUAUGUUCUUAUAAGGUCGAUGAAUUAUGAGAUAUUACCUAGAAGAUGUUUGUCCUCGUACUUCGAUUCUGCCAAAGUAUACAAUGCCCUGACUGCCUUAUUUGCAUCCUCGUAGAUAAUAACCAUGGAGCCAUAUUCAUAGUAUAUCGUACCAAUUGAGGAGAAUUUGUUUUCUAAACGAAUUACAUGAAAACAAAGUUAUUACUAUAAAUGA
Molecule: long non-coding RNA, 2199 nt
Organism: Megalopta genalis
Lineage: Eukaryota; Metazoa; Arthropoda; Insecta; Hymenoptera; Halictidae
Source: RefSeq, a predicted model, not a curated record